CCCCCUCUCUCUCUUCUCCCCCCUCCCCAGCCAUCAAGCCCUUCCUUGGCAUUAUUCUCUUCGUCACUAAAUCCUACUGGAUGCAAAGGGCUGAAAACAUUUUACAC
Molecule: non-coding RNA, 107 nt
Organism: Xenopus laevis (African clawed frog)
Lineage: Eukaryota; Metazoa; Chordata; Amphibia; Anura; Pipidae
Source: Rfam